RNAcentral lists this ribosomal RNA (253 nucleotides) under uncultured bacterium. RNAcentral describes it as "partial 16S ribosomal RNA". It matches the Rfam family "Bacterial small subunit ribosomal RNA", at positions 524 to 776 of the family's 1533-position model. The record is from RNAcentral.
UACGUAGGCAGCGAGCGUUGUUCGGAGUUACUGGGCGUAAAGAGUGCGUAGGCGGUUUUCUAAGUUUGGUGUGAAAUCUCCCGGCUUAACUGGGAGGGUGCGCCGAAAACUGGAAGGCCUGAGUAUGGGAGAGGUAAGCGGAAUUCCUGGUGUAGCGGUGAAAUGCGUAGAUAUCAGGAGGAACACCUGCGGUGUAGACGGCUUACUGGACCAUAACUGACGCUGAGGCACGAAAGCGUGGGUAGCAAACAGG